UAGAAUUGGAGAAAAGGGAUCAAAUUUGCAAUUUCAUAGCAGUUUUGGGUAAUACUGAUGAUAUUACAGCGGAGGGAUAGGGGGUGUAAAGUGUCUUUCUGCAGAGCAGUCAUUGUGUCGGAAGUGAGAUUUUCACCCCAGUCAACUUCAAAUCCGUGUAGCAAAAAAUCUAAAUGGUCAACCCCCUACAAAAUUAUGAUGAGGAGAUUGCCAAAUGUUGUCCCCAUUGUGCCUAUAAAGAUUGGAACCAACGGAAUGUUGAGAAAAAAGCUACAGCCUGUGAUGUUACAGCCAUUUAACAUUGAAGUCAAUGGGCAAAUAAUUGCUAGUCUGAGUCCUGAUGAGAUAAAGAAACAUGGCCGACUCGGGAUGUUGAUAUUUUUUCAAGGGCUUAUUUCCUGAAGUUUUGAAUGGAAAGUGUCAGAAAUAGUAAGAAUACUGCUUUUUUAUUGCCCAGCAGUGCCAGGGCAAUGUUUCAUAGAGUGGAAUGAUUGACCUCAACACAAGUAUUAAAAAAAAAGAAGCAAAACAGGUCUACAUCUCAAAACCUGAUCUCUUCCUGGACUGGCUUUAGGAGAACGAUGAUGCAUAUCAAUUUCAUCCCUGAUCUCUAUGACACCUGUGGUGGAAGUGGAGGGCAAAUCGUAAUCAGUUUGGGACCUCUGUAAACUUUGCUUUUUGGUGAUGACUUAAUUUCCGAGCUUGAAAAGGACGCUUGUGUGUUUAUCAUGGCCUCUCAUAUUGGAAGAUAACAUUAAUGGCUUGUGUGUUGAUCGACGGUUGUGCAUAUCUCUUGGUCAGGAAAGUUGUAGGCACCAUCGCCAUUGUAAAUCAUUUGACAGGCUCGAGUGAACGGGGCGACCUAUGAUUGGUCAGCAAUGUAUCAGAUUCCAUACCGGGGGGUGGGGAUGAAAAAACUGUUGUAGUGUUACAUAAUCAGAUUAUUUCAACUUACUUAUCCUGUGGAAAUACAGCUAUAUAGGAGAUAUUUUGAAAUUCAUAGGCACUGCAUGUUUCAACAUUUUAGAUUUGACCACAAUUUGGCACUUAAAACUAUGUUAACAGAGAAAAACUGUGUGGUUUUCGAUGAAAGUGUUAAAAGUCUAAUAUUGCAUCAUGAUUACUGUUUUAAAGUAUUUUCGUGUUUGAUUUAUAUUGAAUUCAUCUCAUCUUUUUGAAGAAUGCAUUUAUGUUCAAAAAUAAAAAUGUUCUGUGGAAUUCAAAAUUCAUGUGCUUUUAAAUUAUCAGAUUCCAAACUGGGGGGUAGGGAUGAAAAAGCUGUUGUAGUGUUACAUAAUCAGAUUAUUUCAACUUACUUAUCCUAUGGAAAUACAGCUAUAUAGGAGAUAUUUUAAAAUUGAUAGGCACUGCAUGUUUCAACAUUUUAGAUUUGACCACAAUUUGGCACUUGAAACUACGUUAACAGAGAAAAACUGUGUGGUUUUCGAUGAAAGUGUUAAAAAG
Long non-coding RNA from Patella vulgata (common limpet), 1464 nucleotides. RefSeq lists it as uncharacterized. The record is from RefSeq and is a predicted model, not a curated record. Lineage: Eukaryota; Metazoa; Mollusca; Gastropoda; Patellidae. The transcript has 3 exons.